AUCGCUUCUUGGUCUUUUGGCUAAGAUCAAGUGUAAUAU
RNAcentral lists this small nuclear RNA (39 nucleotides) under Cervus elaphus hippelaphus. The record is from RNAcentral. Lineage: Eukaryota; Metazoa; Chordata; Mammalia; Artiodactyla; Cervidae.